AGUUUGAUUCUGGCUCAGGAUAAACGCUGGCGGCGUGCCUAACACAUGCAAGUCGAACGUCCUACGCAAGUAGGGAGUGGCGGACGGGUGAGGAACACGUGGGUUAUCUGCCCUUGGGUGAGGAAUACCGGCGAGAAAUCGCCGACAAUACCGCAUAUGCUCGGAAGAGCAAAGCCAGCAAUGGCGCCCGAGGAUGAGCCUGCGCUCGAUUAGUUGGUUGGUGGGGUAAUGGCCUACCAAGACCGCGAUCGAUAGCUGGUCUGAGAGGACGAUCAGCCACACUGGGAUUGAGAACGGCCCAGACUCCUACGGGGGCAGCAGUGAGGAAUUUUCGUCAAUGGGGGCAACCCUGAAACGAGCAACGCCGCGUGCAGGAAGAAGGUUUUCGGAUCGUAAACUGCUUUUCUCUGGGACGAGAACGGACGGUACCAGAGGAAUCAGCCCCGGCUAACUACGUGCCAGCAGCUGC
RNAcentral lists this ribosomal RNA (469 nucleotides) under uncultured bacterium. Its description in RNAcentral is "bacterial SSU rRNA". It matches the Rfam family "Bacterial small subunit ribosomal RNA", at positions 10 to 518 of the family's 1533-position model. The record is from RNAcentral.